Molecule: ribosomal RNA, 469 nt
Filed under: Rhodoferax sp.
Lineage: Bacteria; Pseudomonadati; Pseudomonadota; Betaproteobacteria; Burkholderiales; Comamonadaceae
Description: bacterial SSU rRNA
Rfam family: Bacterial small subunit ribosomal RNA
Source: RNAcentral
GCAAUGCCGCGUGCAGGAUGAAGGCCUUCGGGUUGUAAACUGCUUUUGUACGGAACGAAACGGUUCUCCUUAAUACGGAGGGCUAAUGACGGUACCGUAAGAAUAAGCACCGGCUAACUACGUGCCAGCAGCCGCGGUAAUACGUAGGGUGCGAGCGUUAAUCGGAAUUACUGGGCGUAAAGCGUGCGCAGGCGGUUAUAUAAGACAGAUGUGAAAUCCCCGGGCUCAACCUGGGACCUGCAUUUGUGACUGUAUAGCUAGAGUACGGUAGAGGGGGAUGGAAUUCCGCGUGUAGCAGUGAAAUGCGUAGAUAUGCGGAGGAACACCGAUGGCGAAGGCAAUCCCCUGGACCUGUACUGACGCUCAUGCACGAAAGCGUGGGGAGCAAACAGGAUUAGAUACCCUGGUAGUCCACGCCCUAAACGAUGUCAACUGGUUGUUGGGUCUUCACUGACUCAGUAACGAAGCU